AUUGAACGCUGGCGGCAUGCCUUACACAUGCAAGUCGAACGGCAGCACGGGUGCUUGCACCUGGUGGCGAGUGGCGAACGGGUGAGUAAUACAUCGGAACAUGUCCUGUAGUGGGGGAUAGCCCGGCGAAAGCCGGAUUAAUACCGCAUACGAUCUACGGAUGAAAGCGGGGGACCUUCGGGCCUCGCGCUAUAGGGUUGGCCGAUGGCUGAUUAGCUAGUUGGUGGGGUAAAGGCCUACCAAGGCGACGAUCAGUAGAUGGUCUGAGAGGACGACCAGCCACACUGGGACUGAGACACGGCCCAGACUCCUACGGGAGGCAGCAGUGGGGAAUUUUGGACAAUGGGCGAAAGCCUGAUCCAGCAAUGCCGCGUGUGUGAAGAAGGCCUUCGGGUUGUAAAGCACUUUUGUCCGGAAAGAAAUCCUUGGCUCUAAUACAGUCGGGGGUUGACGGUACCGGAAGAAUAAGCACCGGCUAACUACGUG
RNAcentral lists this ribosomal RNA (486 nucleotides) under uncultured bacterium. RNAcentral's name for it is "partial 16S ribosomal RNA". It matches the Rfam family "Bacterial small subunit ribosomal RNA", at positions 30 to 507 of the family's 1533-position model. The record is from RNAcentral.